This 1871-nucleotide unclassified non-coding RNA is filed under the name Leishmania donovani. Its description in RNAcentral is "gene:LdHU3.27.0400(CDS-product:hypothetical_prote in_conserved)". The record is from RNAcentral. Lineage: Eukaryota; Euglenozoa; Kinetoplastea; Trypanosomatida; Trypanosomatidae.
AGCAGUGCUUGGCGCCUUCUCAGCACAGUUGCCUGGUGCGAGCGCUCGGCGGGCGCUCUGAGCAAAGGUGAUGCGGCGCUGUAUUCGUUUGGUGUACGCGCGCAGCAGCGGUGCAAUGACUGGCGCGGCGCCUCCGCCCGCUGUGCUGGAGGCGAGCGCUAGCUCGCCUGUCGGGCUCUACCAGAAAUGUCUCAACCCAAUGACCUCAGCUGGGGAUGUGGCAAGCUUAACAGCAGCUCUUCUUCCUGCGAUCGGUAGGGGAGAGCUUUCACUGCAUCAGCAGGUUCAACUACUGCAUGCCCUCGCUGCACGUUCGAUUCGGUUCGAGGAUGUGAUGCUGAGGUGCCUGUGGACUGUUUUCAAAGCCCCCUCACCCACUGACGAUGACGUUUCUGUGGAGUCCUCCAAGGCGAGGGGGUGUUAUUCACUGUCCGAGCUGUCCGCGUACACGAGUAGCGCCUUUCAAGUAAUGGCUGAGCAGCGGUUUCUCAACGACCCGCAGAUGACGGCAGUGGCGCUUGGCCGCUGCGUAGAGUUAAUCCCCUACGCGAGUUUAGAUGGGCUGCGGAGCACGUACCGCGGGCUGAGCGCAGUGAACCACAUGUUCUUCAGCGUCGCCGAGGUAGCGCAUCACAGCAGCGAGGUAACAGAGCGGAUGACGACAAAGGAGUUUUACCAGACAACAGACGUGCCCGAUGAGGAGACUCUGCGACACCAACCUAAUUUGAUCGAUGUUCUGUGCGGUGAAGUGGAGCUACAACUCCGACGCCUGUGCGACACCUUUGCGAGAGCAGCACCCGGCCCGUUCGAAGUGGAGGACGCUUUACCUGCACCGGUUGCGACAGGGGCGUUGCUCACCCCUUCGGAUGCGCGAGACACCCACGAGGCACAGUGGUUCUUGGAUGUGCUGGAGGCCCUCGCCGUGGUGGGUGUACUGCACGCCGGCACACUGGACAGCUUAACCGACCUUGUCAGUCGAUACUGCACCCAAUCUUCCGCGGGCUUUUUCAUUAAGGCCCUAGCUCACGCUACGCUCAUCGAGGAGCGAGUGGUGGACCCGUUGACGUACGAGGAAUCGGCCGCUGUGCGCGAUGCACGCCGACGUCUCACGCUGCAUCUCAGCGGCAAGAUACUGCAGGCACGCGGCAUCCACGGGUACCUGCGGCGCCACCCCCAGGAGCUUCUACUGCUUCGCCGCUUAUUUGAGCACGACACCGCCCAACCCACCCUUUCUCCCGAUCUGUGGGACGCCGUUAGAACGAUUCACGUUGCCCACCGUCACACGGUAGCUGCGUCGCAGACAAGUCGUCGACCAGUUGGGGCGCUGUUCCAGAAAAUGUACGACGUUAAAGUGAAGCCGAUCUCAGUCGACAACGCAGAGCCGGAACGCUUCGUGCCACCCGAGUUCAAAACAUGGCGAAGCCCUGCUGCCACACCGCGCGGAGGCCACCCCCGAAAUAGGCGGCCAUCGAGGCGCAUGGCAUUUGGCACGCGUCGCAUCUCGAAAAACUACAUCAAGAACAAGCGUAGGAAGUUCUGCCCAGCGGUGUUUUGAACAGCAUACAUCCGCAACAGAUCUGUGCCGCUCACGGAUCCCUGCACCAAAAAAAAAACGGAAAGGUGGCGAGUGACUUCUUUUUCUCUCAGCACCCCCUCAUUCCACCCCUCCUUUCAUCUCGUUUCGUCAUCCUCCUCGAUCACGUCGCCCUUGGGCCGCUGCAUCGCUGCGAGGGGCGUGAAGGCUGCAAAGAAUGGGGAGGGGGGGGCAGCCGUGAGGGGCCGAGAGGAGUACUGCUUGGUGUCCCCUCAAAUCUCCGAUGAGUACGUAUGUGCCCUGUCUUUACAGGAGGAGGAUUCCUCGACUGCUUUCG